This 484-nucleotide ribosomal RNA is filed under the name uncultured bacterium. RNAcentral's name for it is "partial 16S ribosomal RNA". It matches the Rfam family "Bacterial small subunit ribosomal RNA", at positions 29 to 523 of the family's 1533-position model. The record is from RNAcentral.
AGUGAACGCUGGCGGCGUGCUUAACACAUGCAAGUCGAACGAGAACGGAUUAUAGCUUGCUAUAAUUGUCAGCUAAGUGGCGCACGGGUGAGUAAUGUAUAGGUAAUAUGCCUUUUACUAAGGAAUAACAAAUGGAAACGUUUGCUAAUACCUUAUACUCCUUAUUAACCUAAGUUAAUAAGGGAAAGAUUUAUUGGUAAGAGAUUAGCCUGUAUUGUAUCAGUUAGUUGGUGGGGUAAUGGCUUACCAAGACUAUGACACAUAACUGGUUUGAGAGGAUGAUCAGUCACACUGGAACUGAGACACGGUCCAGACUCCUACGGGAGGCAGCAGUGGGGAAUAUUGCACAAUGGACGGAGGUCUGAUGCAGCAACGCCGCGUGGAGGAUGACACAUUUCGGUGCGUAAACUCCUUUUAUAUGAGAAGAUAAUGACGGUAUUAUAUGAAUAAGCACCGGCUAACUCCGUGCAAGCAGCCGCCGUAA